AUACCUUUCUCGGCCUUUUGGCUAAGAUCAAGUGUAGUAUCUGUUCUUAUCAGUUUAAUAUCUGAUAUGUGGGCCAUUGGUUCACAUGAUAUUAAAUUUAUUUUUUACGGGAAAGGGUUAUAUGCAGUAGCUUGCUACUGUGGCACUUGAGCAUCUCCUUUAUUUUGCACUUUUGCAAAGGAUUGGUGCAUCCCUC
Vigna unguiculata (cowpea) is the source of this 196-nucleotide small nuclear RNA. NCBI's taxonomy places the organism in Eukaryota, Viridiplantae, Streptophyta, Magnoliopsida, Fabales, Fabaceae. The record is from RefSeq and is a predicted model, not a curated record.